UCUAAGAUAAUUUGAAUGCACAUAAGUGGCUUUAUAGAAAUAGUUAUCAGCUAUAUGUACAGUCUACCAAUUCGUAAUAUGGGAGGAGCUGUACCAAACUACUGGGGUUUUAUCGAUGGAACUAUUAGAGAAAUUUGUUGACGAAGUAUCAUCAAGUUUGAAUGGAAGUCAAUCAAGUAUUUCUUUUUAUGUGAAACCACCAGUAUUGGAAGAUUAUUUUGUUU
Molecule: long non-coding RNA, 224 nt
Organism: Harmonia axyridis
Lineage: Eukaryota; Metazoa; Arthropoda; Insecta; Coleoptera; Coccinellidae
Exons: 2
Source: RefSeq, a predicted model, not a curated record